This 558-nucleotide ribosomal RNA is filed under the name uncultured Glomus. Its description in RNAcentral is "SSU rRNA". It matches the Rfam family "Eukaryotic small subunit ribosomal RNA", at positions 546 to 1106 of the family's 1831-position model. Lineage: Eukaryota; Fungi; Glomeromycota; Glomeromycetes; Glomerales; Glomeraceae. The record is from RNAcentral.
AAUUGGAGGGCAAGUCUGGUGCCAGCAGCCGCGGUAAUUCCAGCUCCAAUAGCGUAUAUUAAAGUUGUUGCAGUUAAAAAGCUCGUAGUUGAAUUUCGGGAUCAGCAGGUUGGUCGUGCCAAUGGUAUGCACUGGCCUUGCUGAUUCCUCCUUCUUGAUGAGCCGUAAUGCCAUUAAUUUGGUGUUGCGGGGAAUCAGGACUGUUACUUUGAAAAAAUUAGAGUGUUUAAAGCAGGCUCACGCUUGAAUACAUUAGCAUGGAAUAAUGAAAUAGGACGUUGAUCUUAUUUUGUUGGUUUCUAGGAUUGACGUAAUGAUUAAUAGGGAUAGUUGGGGGCAUUAGUAUUCAAUUGUCAGAGGUGAAAUUCUUGGAUUUAUUGAAGACUAACUACUGCGAAAGCAUUUGCCAAGGAUGUUUUCAUUAAUCAAGAACGAAAGUUAGGGGAUCGAAGACGAUCAGAUACCGUCGUAGUCUUAACCAUAAACUAUGCCGACUAGGGAUCGGAUGAUGUUAAUUUUUUAAUGACUCAUUCGGCGCCUUACGGGAAACCAAAGUGU